AGUGAACGCUGGCGGUAGGCCUAACACAUGCAAGUCGAACGGCAGCACAGUAAGAGCUUGCUCUUACGGGUGGCGAGUGGCGGACGGGUGAGGAAUACAUCGGAAUCUACUUUUUCGUGGGGGAUAACGUAGGGAAACUUACGCUAAUACCGCAUACGACCUACGGGUGAAAGCAGGGGAUCUUCGGACCUUGCGCGAUUGAAUGAGCCGAUGUCGGAUUAGCUAGUUGGCGGGGUAAAGGCCCACCAAGGCGACGAUCCGUAGCUGGUCUGAGAGGAUGAUCGGCAACACUGGAACGAAGACACGGCCCAGACUCCUACGGGAGGCAGCAGUGGGGAAUAUUGGACAAUGGGCGCAAGCCUGAUCCAGCCAUACGGCGUGGGUGAAGAAGGCCUUCGGGUGGUAAAGCCCUUUUGUGGGGAAAGAAAAGCAGCAGGUUAAUACCCCGCUGUUCUGACGGUACCCAAAGAAUAAGCACCGGCUAACUUCGU
Molecule: ribosomal RNA, 491 nt
Filed under: uncultured bacterium
Lineage: Bacteria
Description: partial 16S ribosomal RNA
Rfam family: Bacterial small subunit ribosomal RNA
Source: RNAcentral